UACGUAGGGGCCGAGCGUUGUCCGGAGUUAUUGGGCGUAAAGCGCGCGCAGGCGGCCUCGCGCGCCCGACGUGAAAGCCCCCGGCUUAACCGGGGAGGGGCGUUGGGGACGGCGGGGCUUGAGGGCGGGAGAGGUCGGUGGAAUUCCCGGUGUAGUGGUGAAAUGCGUAGAGAUCGGGAGGAACACCUGUGGCGAAGGCGGCCGACUGGGCCGACCCUGACGCUGAGGCGCGAAGGCGUGGGGAGCGAACGGG
This 253-nucleotide ribosomal RNA is filed under the name uncultured bacterium. RNAcentral describes it as "partial 16S ribosomal RNA". It matches the Rfam family "Bacterial small subunit ribosomal RNA", at positions 524 to 776 of the family's 1533-position model. The record is from RNAcentral.